Long non-coding RNA from Episyrphus balteatus (marmalade hoverfly), 1445 nucleotides. RefSeq lists it as uncharacterized. NCBI's taxonomy places the organism in Eukaryota, Metazoa, Arthropoda, Insecta, Diptera, Syrphidae. The transcript has 5 exons. The record is from RefSeq and is a predicted model, not a curated record.
CCAUGCGUAUCCAUCAAUUUUAUAACUUUUAAUUUUUCAAAACAUUCAGAACACGCUUGUACUUUGACACAAAACGUAAUAAAGACUAGAAAUGACAACUAUUAUCCGUAAAAACAUCGAAAGAAACGCGAAAACACAUAAAACGGAGUUAUAUUUAGGCUGACAAGACAAAACGUCACGUGUAAACAGCAAAAAUAACGCGUGUAAACGUAAAAUAACUUGGACCAAACGAUGAGAUAGCUUAAAAGACGUACGAUUUAAAUAAAUAAACAGAAUAUGACGUAUAAAACCGGGUGAAUAUAAAAGUUAUAACGAAAAAUAUAACACUUAUAGCAAACGAAUUCUUAUUUCACCCCUUUUGGUGUAAAAAUGGAUCUCAUGUAAUUUUUGAUGAUAGAAAUAGUUGCUACCUUUAAUUUAAAUGUCGGUGCUACUUUAACCAUAGAUUUCCUUAUCCAUUUUGCUCUAGUACAAUUUUCACCGAGUUAGCUUUCCAACCAAUCAUAUUCCAGUACUGGAAAGCCAAUCAUCUCGGUUAUUAUUAUCUAUGGGUACCCAAUCUAUGUAAUAAAUUGUCAAAGGUCUAUACAUUGACAUUCAUGAUUGACAUUGAAAACAACACGGACAAAGAAGAAGGACAAGAUGGCAGCAAUUUGGUAAGAAUUAAAUUUUAUUUAUUAUUUUCGAGGUAUUUCCCUUUUUUUCUUUUCUAUUUAUUUCAGGUACUCCAUACCAAAGAACAGGAUUCGUCAUAUAAGCAGCAACAGGCGUCCGCAACAAAAUUUCUUCGGAGAAAAUUUCGUGAAAUUUUCGAGGAAGAAACAAAAAGGUCGCCUGGGAAUUAGAUUUCUACAGGAUUAUUCAGUACGGAAACACAACCUUAAUGGACUGGUUUCUCAUGGACUAAUAGAGCACGUGGUUGUAAUUGGGAGGUAGAAGUUCCUAAAACUACAAACGGAUACUCAUCGUGGUGAACAUUCUCACCCGGUGAAAAUGUAAAAAAAAUUCUCGGCCGGUGAAAAGUGAUUUUUGGUUUAUAAUGAAACUCCAAUCCAUGCGGCAUGGUUUUGGGACCAACAAAAUAGUUUCUCUAUCAUUUUGGAAUUGGUUGGACUAAAUUUUCGUCCGUGGGGAGUAACCCAUGUUAUAAGCCGGGCUUAAAUUAGCUUAGUAGUUUAUAAUCAUAAAAUAACUCAUGACGCGGAUAAAACUGUACAGAUAAUUUAAUACAGGCUCAAAGAUUCAAGGACAAGUUAUUUUAAAUUUGGAAGUUACAAUCGCCGCACAAGAACCUACCCCUAUCUAUGUUGCAGAAGUGGAGAGAAAAACCGGAUCUUUUCUUGGGGAUUAACGUUGCAGCCAGCUGGGACUCUAUAAGGACGAGGUGCUCCGGUGGACGGGCGGCUCGGAUGGCUGCGUAAGAGCUCCGACCUCUUAGAUUGGAA